Molecule: small nuclear RNA, 107 nt
Filed under: Zalophus californianus (California sea lion)
Lineage: Eukaryota; Metazoa; Chordata; Mammalia; Carnivora; Otariidae
Also listed under: 1 other name
Source: RNAcentral
GUGCUUGCUUUGGCAGCAUAUAUACUAAAAUUGGAAUGAUACAGAGAAGAUUAGCAUGGCCCCUGUGCAAGGAUGACAUGCAAAUUCAUGAAGUGUUCCAUAUUUUU